Long non-coding RNA from Rosa rugosa (rugosa rose), 1411 nucleotides. RefSeq lists it as uncharacterized. The record is from RefSeq and is a predicted model, not a curated record. Lineage: Eukaryota; Viridiplantae; Streptophyta; Magnoliopsida; Rosales; Rosaceae. The transcript is spliced from 5 exons.
GCCUAUACCCGAGUUUUCUCAACACUUAGUAAAAAAAAACAGAAAUUUUCUUUCUCAACCCUAACCACACGACAGCCGACCUCCUCUUCAUCAUCCUCAUCCUCCGCCUCCGACCAGCACCCGACGGCUCCCAUCCUCCUUCUCCGGCUCUGACCGUUCUCCACCCAAUGUGAGCCCUCUCAUUCUCUUUCUCAAUCUUGCCGUCGAUUUCAAUUAUCUUGAGAAGCCAUCGCCGCCACCAAGAUCUCUCUCACUAUCGCCGCCGGUCUCGGGAUCUCUCUCACUAUCACUGCCGGUGUCAGUGCCAAGAAAUAUAAAGAGCCUCCUUCUUCUAUUGGAGAUGCCUCCGAUAGGGUUCGUUCUCUUCUCUCUCUCUUUCUGUUUAUGCCCUGGGGCUAUUGUUGGUUACUUUAAUCAGUGAUUGAUAAGCUUCCUUCUGUGUUUGUAUUACUGUUGGAGCUUAAUUGGUUCUGGGCUUAAUUCUAGGUCAUUCAAUGACCAGUGGGAUUUCUUGGUUAGGCGUUUUAGCUUUAGAUUGGUAUAUUCUGUGCUAAAGUUGUUGGUUUAUUUGCAAACAAACAAAUAGAUUAAUAAAAGGGGCGAUACAGUGGAUGAGAAGAUCAAGAAGCUUGAUGUUGAACUUAAUAGAUACAAAGAGCAUGUCAAGAACACAAGACCUGGCCUGCACAGGCAGCUGUUAAGGUGAGAGCCAUGAGGGUUCUCAAGCAAAAACGAAUGUAAAGAAGUAUUCAAUUUGCCAAAACUUCAGUAUCUGUAUUUCAAAGGUCCUGAGAUUCUUGUUGAUUUACAAGAUUAUGACUAUUCUUUGGUCUAGUGGAUUCUCGGUUGUAUGUUUGCUGGAAUGGGUGAUUACGUAAAUUCAAUGAGAGCAGCACAGGAGUUCAGCUCAAGAAUGUUUGAUUCCAUAAAGAUGGUUUCAACAAUGAAGAAGUCGAUCUUUGAUGAACAAACUAACAAGGCCUUAAGGAAAUUGCAAAAGAAUGCUCAAAAGAAGAAUACGCAUCAUGAUGUGGUUCGAGUUGAAUGGGCAAAUCAUGUUAUACAGUUCUAACUUUGGUUCUUUUUAAGGUAGAUGAGUAGCACUUGAAACUGCUUUUAUGCAUUUAUAUAUAACUGAUGGAAAGUGUUGAUGAACUUAAAUUAUGCAUGCAGUUGCUCUGUCUAGCUACUCUUUCUUUACCUUAUAGGUUUUUGACUUGGUGCACUAGGUAAAUGAUCGAGAUAAGAUGGUUUUUUGGUUCUCUCGAUCAUAAUGUAACUGUUGGCUAGGUUUAGAGUUGGAACUAUGGAUUGUAUUUUGGAUGAUGUUGAUGCAAUUAAUGAAACGUAGCCAUCAUUUUCAAUGCUGAUUUUAGUCCAAUUUUAUGGUUUUGAUGAUUGUAAAUGACUG